Molecule: long non-coding RNA, 228 nt
Filed under: Elaeis guineensis (African oil palm)
Lineage: Eukaryota; Viridiplantae; Streptophyta; Magnoliopsida; Arecales; Arecaceae
Description: long non-coding RNA (EGUI_LNC022701)
Source: RNAcentral
CGGUGAGAUAUUUUGGCUACCUUGCACCCCAAGCUUGCAAGCUCCUGUUAUGCUGUUCUUCAUUGAGCAGUUUCACUUAACGUGUGCCCCACCAUGAAUGGCAACCGUGCAGAUUUUCCUUGGCGAGCGGCUUUUGCCUUCGUUGAAGGAUGUAUUGAUUAAGAAAGCUUAGAGAUAUAAGUGCAUGUUUUUUUUUUGGUAUAUUAAGUGAACAUUCUUUGUUUGGAU